This 582-nucleotide ribosomal RNA is filed under the name Pichia manshurica. Its description in RNAcentral is "eukaryotic LSU rRNA". It matches the Rfam family "Eukaryotic large subunit ribosomal RNA", at positions 59 to 667 of the family's 3401-position model. The record is from RNAcentral. Lineage: Eukaryota; Fungi; Ascomycota; Pichiomycetes; Pichiales; Pichiaceae.
AAGAAACCAACAGGGAUUGCCCCAGUAGCGGCGAGUGAAGCGGCAAGAGCUCAGAUUUGAAAUCGUGUUUCGGCACGAGUUGUAGAGUGUAGGCGGGAGUCUCUGUGGAGCGCGGUGUCCAAGUCCCUUGGAACAGGGUGCCUGAGAGGGUGAGAGCCCCGUAGGGUGCUGCGCGAAGCUUUUGAGGCCCUGCUGACGAGUCGAGUUGUUUGGGACUGCAGCUCCAAGCGGGUGGUAAAUUCCAUCUAAGGCUAAAUAUUGGCGAGAGACCGAUAGCGAACAAGUACUGUGAAGGAAAGAUGAAAAGCACUUUGAAAAGAGAGUGAAACAGCACGUGAAAUUGUUGAAAGGGAAGGGUAUUGGGCUCGACAUGGGGGGUGCGCACCGCUGUCUCUUGUAGGCGGCGCUCUGGGCGCCCUCUGGGCCAGCAUCGGUUCCUGCUGCGGGAGAAGGGGCUCCGGAAAGUGGCUCUUCGGAGUGUUAUAGCCGGGGCCAGAUGCCGCGUGUGGGGACCGAGGACUGCGGCUUCUGUCUCGGAUGCUGGCAUAACGGCGCAAUACCGCCCGUCUUGAAACACGGACC